UACGUAGGGUCCGAGCGUUGUCCGGAGUUAUUGGGCGUAAAGGGCUCGUAGGCGGUUUGUCGCGUCGGGAGUGAAAACUCAGGGCUUAACCCUGAGCGUGCUUCCGAUACGGGCUGACUAGAGGGAUGCAGGGGAGAACGGAAUUCCUGGUGUAGCGGUGGAAUGCGCAGAUAUCAGGAGGAACACCGGUGGCGAAGGCGGUCUCUGGGCAUUUCCUGACGCUGAGGAGCGAAAGCAUGGGGAGCGAACAGG
RNAcentral lists this ribosomal RNA (252 nucleotides) under uncultured bacterium. Its description in RNAcentral is "partial 16S ribosomal RNA". It matches the Rfam family "Bacterial small subunit ribosomal RNA", at positions 524 to 776 of the family's 1533-position model. The record is from RNAcentral.